Molecule: ribosomal RNA, 497 nt
Filed under: uncultured bacterium
Lineage: Bacteria
Description: partial 16S ribosomal RNA
Rfam family: Bacterial small subunit ribosomal RNA
Source: RNAcentral
GAUGAACGCUGGCGGCGUGCCUAAUACAUGCAAGUCGAGCGAACGGACGAGAAGCUUGCUUCUCUGAUGUUAGCGGCGGACGGGUGAGUAACACGUGGAUAACCUACCUAUAAGACUGGGAUAACUUCGGGAAACCGGAGCUAAUACCGGAUGAUAUUUUGAACCGCAUGGUUCAAAGGUGAAAGACGGUCUUGCUGUCACUUAUAGAUGGAUCCGCGCUGCAUUAGCUAGUUGGUAAGGUAACGGCUUACCAAGGCAACGAUGCAUAGCCGACCUGAGAGGGUGAUCGGCCACACUGGAACUGAGACACGGUCCAGACUCCUACGGGAGGCAGCAGUAAGGAAUCUUCCGCAAUGGGCGAAAGCCUGACGGAGCAACGCCGCGUGAGUGAUGAAGGUCUUCGGAUCGUAAAACUCUGUUAUUAGGGAAGAACAUAUGUGUAAGUAACUGUGCACAUCUUGACGGUACCUAAUCAGAAAGCCACGGCUAACUACGUG